This 70-nucleotide small RNA is filed under the name Pedobacter sp. SG908. RNAcentral's name for it is "Flavo-1 RNA". It matches the Rfam family "Flavo-1 RNA". The record is from RNAcentral. Lineage: Bacteria; Pseudomonadati; Bacteroidota; Sphingobacteriia; Sphingobacteriales; Sphingobacteriaceae. RNAcentral also lists the same sequence under 1 other name.
ACAUAAACCCGAUUGCAAUGGAAAGCCGCCGCUCCUUCUGCGGCGCUUGGAACGGAAAGCGGGACUACAC